GUAUCCUACGGGAGGCAGCAGUGAGGAAUAUUGGUCCAUGGACGCAAGUCUGAACCAGCCAAGUAGCGUGCAGGAUGACGGCCCUCCGGGUUGUAAACUGCUUUUAGUUGGGAAUAAAAGGGGGCUCGUGAGCCCCGUAUUGUAUGUACCAUCAGAAAAAGGACCGGCUAAUUCCGUGCCAGCAGCCGCGGUAAUACGGAAGGUCCGGGCGUUAUCCGGAUUUAUUGGGUUUAAAGGGAGCUUAGGCCGGCUUUUAAGUCAGCUGUGAAAGUCCGCGGCUCAACCGUGGACUGG
Molecule: ribosomal RNA, 294 nt
Filed under: uncultured bacterium
Lineage: Bacteria
Description: partial 16S ribosomal RNA
Rfam family: Bacterial small subunit ribosomal RNA
Source: RNAcentral